GCUAAAAUAGCAAAGAGGUAAAUGCAAUAGAUUUAGGAUUUAUUACCAAAGGUUCAAUUCCUUUUUUUAGUU
This 72-nucleotide transfer RNA is filed under the name Luidia sp. 1-EK-2003. RNAcentral describes it as "tRNA-Leu". It matches the Rfam family "tRNA". Rfam says of the family: Transfer RNA (tRNA) molecules are approximately 80 nucleotides in length. Their secondary structure includes four short double-helical elements and three loops (D, anti-codon, and T loops). The record is from RNAcentral. Lineage: Eukaryota; Metazoa; Echinodermata; Asteroidea; Paxillosida; Luidiidae.